Molecule: small RNA, 28 nt
Filed under: Bombyx mori (domestic silkworm)
Lineage: Eukaryota; Metazoa; Arthropoda; Insecta; Lepidoptera; Bombycidae
Description: piRNA piR-bmo-2236448
Source: RNAcentral
UGUAUAUGCUGUAGAUGUCUGGUGUCUU